AUUGAACGCUGGCGGCAGGCCUAACACAUGCAAGUCGAGCGGGGUUUUCGGACCUAGCGGCGGACGGGUGAGUAAUGCGUAGGAAGCUGCCCGAUAGAGGGGGAUACCAGUUGGAAACGACUGUUAAUACCGCAUAAUGUCUACGGACCAAAGUGUGGGACCUCGGGCCACAUGCUAUCGGAUGCGCCUACGUGGGAUUA
RNAcentral lists this ribosomal RNA (200 nucleotides) under uncultured bacterium. RNAcentral's name for it is "partial 16S ribosomal RNA". It matches the Rfam family "Bacterial small subunit ribosomal RNA", at positions 30 to 243 of the family's 1533-position model. The record is from RNAcentral.